Molecule: transfer RNA, 91 nt
Filed under: Candidatus Phytoplasma melaleucae
Lineage: Bacteria; Bacillati; Mycoplasmatota; Mollicutes; Acholeplasmatales; Acholeplasmataceae
Description: tRNA-Ser
Rfam family: tRNA
About the family: Transfer RNA (tRNA) molecules are approximately 80 nucleotides in length.
Source: RNAcentral
GGAGUAGUACUCAAGUGGUUAUAAGAGGCAUCUCUGCUAAGGAUGUAGGCCAAAAUAUGGUGCAAGGGUUCGAAUCCCUUCUGCUCCGCCA